This 1239-nucleotide ribosomal RNA is filed under the name 'Orosius albicinctus' aster yellows phytoplasma. RNAcentral describes it as "bacterial SSU rRNA". It matches the Rfam family "Bacterial small subunit ribosomal RNA", at positions 154 to 1394 of the family's 1533-position model. Lineage: Bacteria; Bacillati; Mycoplasmatota; Mollicutes; Acholeplasmatales; Acholeplasmataceae. The record is from RNAcentral.
AAACGACUGCUAAGACUGGAUAGGAGACAAGAGGGCAUCUUCUUGUUUUUAAAAGACCUAGCAAUAGGUAUGCUUAGGGAGGAGCUUGCGUCACAUUAGUUAGUUGGUGGGGUAAAGGCCUACCAAGACUAUGAUGUGUAGCCGGGCUGAGAGGUUGAACGGCCACAUUGGGACUGAGACACGGCCCAAACUCCUACGGGAGGCAGCAGUAGGGAAUUUUCGGCAAUGGAGGAAACUCUGACCGAGCAACGCCGCGUGAACGAUGAAGUAUUUCGGUACGUAAAGUUCUUUUAUUAGGGAAGAAUAAAUGAUGGAAAAAUCAUUCUGACGGUACCUAAUGAAUAAGCCCGGCUAACUAUGUGCCAGCAGCCGCGGUAAUACAUAGGGGGCAAGCGUUAUCCGGAAUUAUUGGGCGUAAAGGGUGCGUAGGCGGUUAAAUAAGUUUAUGGUCUAAGUGCAAUGCUCAACAUUGUGAUGCUAUAAAAACUGUUUAGCUAGAGUAAGAUAGAGGCAAGUGGAAUUCCAUGUGUAGUGGUAAAAUGCGUAAAUAUAUGGAGGAACACCAGUAGCGAAGGCGGCUUGCUGGGUCUUUACUGACGCUGAGGCACGAAAGCGUGGGGAGCAAACAGGAUUAGAUACCCUGGUAGUCCACGCCGUAAACGAUGAGUACUAAACGUUGGGUAAAACCAGUGUUGAAGUUAACACAUUAAGUACUCCGCCUGAGUAGUACGUACGCAAGUAUGAAACUUAAAGGAAUUGACGGGACUCCGCACAAGCGGUGGAUCAUGUUGUUUAAUUCGAAGGUACCCGAAAAACCUCACCAGGUCUUGACAUGCUUCUGCAAAGCUGUAGAAACACAGUGGAGGUUAUCAGUUGCACAGGUGGUGCAUGGUUGUCGUCAGCUCGUGUCGUGAGAUGUUGGGUUAAGUCCCGCAACGAGCGCAACCCUUAUUGUUAGUUACCAGCACGUAAUGGUGGGGACUUUAGCAAGACUGCCAGUGAUAAAUUGGAGGAAGGUGGGGACGACGUCAAAUCAUCAUGCCCCUUAUGACCUGGGCUACAAACGUGAUACAAUGGCUGUUACAAAGGGUAGCUGAAGCGCAAGUUUUUGGCGAAUCUCAAAAAAACAGUCUCAGUUCGGAUUGAAGUCUGCAACUCGACUUCAUGAAGUUGGAAUCGCUAGUAAUCGCGAAUCAGCAUGUCGCGGUGAAUACGUUCUCGGGGUUUGUACACACCGCC